RNAcentral lists this ribosomal RNA (241 nucleotides) under Arabidopsis thaliana (thale cress). The record is from RNAcentral. Lineage: Eukaryota; Viridiplantae; Streptophyta; Magnoliopsida; Brassicales; Brassicaceae.
AUGGGGGAUCCCUACAUAGCGGGUGGGACCCACGGCGAAUGGUUCAUCAAGUCUUCAAAAAAGAAUAUAUACGAUUGCAUUGCAUAUACUAACGGAUGCGAUCAUACCAGCACUAAUGCACCGGAUCCCAUCAGAACUCCGCAGUUAAGCGUGCUUGGGCGAGAGUAGUACUAGGAUGGGUGACCUCCCGGGAAGUCCUCGUGUUGCAUCCCUCUUUAAUGUUUAACCUUUUUUUUUUUGG